GUCUGGGAGGCACUGUGGGGAUAAAGGUAAGAGCAAUACAGUAGGAAUGUGGAGACUGGCUCUACCAUGAAAUUUACCAUGUGAAAGUGCACAUCAAGUGAUGAACUUCUUCAUGCCUCAGUUUUCUCAUUUACUGUGAAAUGUUUGGAUUGGACUAUAUAACCUCUAGAUCCCUUCUAUCUAUGAAAGGCUAUAAUUCAGUAUUAUGAAGGCUGUAUGCUCAAGUCCUUGGAAACUGAAUGGGUCAUACUCACUUCUAUUUAUAAUUUGGUUUUUAUCUUUGCACUCAAUGCUCUUUGGAGAAAUGUAGAUUUCCAUUCCUAAAUUUUUCUAACCAACAAAGGAAAAGCUCUAUUUUAGUUUGUUUGACAAAGAAACGUCUAUAACUAGAUUGAGUUUCCCAUAUAAUAUUUGCUUUGCCUUCUUCCAUCUUUGCCUAAAAAAGGAGUUUCUAAAAAACCAGAAAUGCUUUCUGUACUCAGGCAUAGCAGGAAUGAGGCUGCCUUGGCUGAAGGAAGAAGAUGGUGCAUAUCUGGAGCCCCAGUGGAGCAGGACUAUUUGCCAUCUGCUGCACUAGUUGCCUCGUCUCCAUAUCAGGCCUGGUCUGUAGUUUGCUGCAAAUACUAGGAGCCGAGCCACUUCCCACCCAUGGCAAGCCUUGAACCCUUUGUAUUCUGGCUGCCAAGAUGAUCUGAAAGCAGGGAGCCACUUUUCAGCUUAGGGAAAAACAUGUGCAUUAAAUGGAAGUAGAUUCUUCUUUUCCCUCCCUCUUGCCACUCCCAGCCAUUUUUAAAGCUUUAUACUAAAAAGGAGGAAGAUCCGUCUGACAAAGCUGAGGAAGAUGAUGGAAUUGCCAGGCCAGAAUGGUUUAUUAAUGAUCCAUGGGAAAAAAAACAAUUGUCCUGCUGGCAGCUUCACAUGUAAUUAACCAGCUUCACAGAGAGCUGGCUGCCUUCUCCAGGCCUGGCAUCCGCAUACUGCAGAGCUACCUGACACAGCAACACUGGGUUUCUAACAAAAUCUCGCUACUGGGAGAGGGGCAUCUAAAAUAGUGACCUCAACCCACUCGGCGCUCAGGAAACAAGACUGAGAUGGCAGUGCUCCUCCGGAGAAGGCUGGCUGUGUGCUCGGGCUGACACAAAGACUGCGACCUCCAUGCUGGCAACAACCAGCCCUGGGAACUGCCACUCCCACUGCUCACCAUUAACUGCCCACUCAGAGAACACUCACCAAAGCUCAAGAAGCAGUGACUAUUCAGGAUGAUUACAGAGUUUCAGCUUGCUUUUCAAGUGGCUCGGAAUAAAGAUGCCUGGAUCUAGAUCUUACUAUCAUACAGCUUUAUUUGUAAAGAAGAAAAUAUGCAACUCUUCCUGAGAUCUGAUACAGGCCAACUUCUUCUGCCUAGAUGAAUCAAACCCAGUCUGCCCAAAGAAAAUGUAGCAGAUCUUCUCGGAAACUCAAAUGCCAUCGCCCUGAGGAAAACUUUUCCAUUCAACAAUUGUUAUUUGCUCUGUAUUCUCAUACUAGGUGGCCUAUGCUUUUGAUAACUGCUCUUUCAUAUUUCCUUGUUUACAUUAUUUGUAUGGCCAUCUACAUAACUAGACUAAAAGAUAUUCGAGGGAGAAGUUAUCCUACUAAUUUAUGUAUCAUCCAAAAUUUAUCUAUUGAAGACUACUUUUCUUAAUCUGUGCUUGUAAAAAUCUUGUACUCAUUAAAAAACACUACCCAAAUCUGUUCAUUGUGUUAAUUCUUUCCUGUAAGUGACUCUCCAGGAU
Molecule: long non-coding RNA, 1775 nt
Filed under: Homo sapiens (human)
Lineage: Eukaryota; Metazoa; Chordata; Mammalia; Primates; Hominidae
Description: HSALNT0343242
Source: RNAcentral